Molecule: ribosomal RNA, 468 nt
Filed under: uncultured bacterium
Lineage: Bacteria
Description: bacterial SSU rRNA
Rfam family: Bacterial small subunit ribosomal RNA
Source: RNAcentral
GAUGAACGCUGGCGGCGUGCUUAACACAUGCAAGUCGAACGGGAUCCCAGGAGCUUGCUCCUGGGUGAGAGUGGCGAACGGGUGAGUAAUGCGUGACCGACCUGCCCCAUACACCGGAAUAGCUCCUGGAAACGGGUGGUAAUGCCGGAUGCUCCAGUUGGAUGCAUGUCCUUCUGGGAAAGAUUCUAUCGGUAUGGGAUGGGGUCGCGUCCUAUCAGCUUGAUGGCGGGGUAACGGCCCACCAUGGCUUCGACGGGUAGCCGGCCUGAGAGGGCGACCGGCCACAUUGGGACUGAGAUACGGCCCAGACUCCUACGGGAGGCAGCAGUGGGGAAUAUUGCACAAUGGGCGCAAGCCUGAUGCAGCGACGCCGCGUGCGGGAUGACGGCCUUCGGGUUGUAAACCGCUUUUGACUGGGAGCAAGCCCUUCGGGGUGAGUGUACCUUUCGAAUAAGCACCGGCUAACUA